CUCUUUUUGAUUAUAAUUUAAAGUAGGGCCUGCCCACUGAUAAUUUAAAGGGCCGCAGUAUCUUAACUGUGCAAAGGUAGCAUAAUCAUUAGUUUUUUAAUUGAAAGCUGGAAUGAAUGGUUUGAUGAGAAAAUUUCUGUUUCAAUAUUAAUUUUUUAAAAUUUUAUUUUUAAGUUAAAAAGCUUAAAUAAAUAUAAAAGACGAGAAGACCCUAUAGAGUUUAAUUAAUUAUUAAUUUUUUUAAAUUAGAAUUUAUUUUAAAAGAUUUAUUUAUUAAUUUGAUUGGGGUGAUUAAAAAAUUAGAAAAACUUUUUUUAAAUUUUUACAUUUAUUUAUGAAUAUUUGAUCCAUUUAUAUGAUUAAAAGAAUAAAUUACCUUAGGGAUAACAGCGUAAUUUUUUUUAAGAGUUCUUAUUUAAAGAAAAGUUUGCGACCUCGAUGUUGGAUUAAAAUUAAUUUUUGGUGUAGAAGCUAAAAAAUUAGGUCUGUUCGACCUUUAAAAUUUUACA
RNAcentral lists this ribosomal RNA (509 nucleotides) under Scymnus kawamurai. Its description in RNAcentral is "partial large subunit ribosomal RNA". The stretch from base 383 to 509 matches the Rfam family "Archaeal large subunit ribosomal RNA", at positions 2542 to 2669 of the family's 2987-position model. The record is from RNAcentral. Lineage: Eukaryota; Metazoa; Arthropoda; Insecta; Coleoptera; Coccinellidae.